AGUAAAUUGGUUAAGUUAGAAAGGGCGCACGGUGGAUGCCUUGGCACUAGGAGCCGAAGAAGGACGGGACUAACACCGAUAUGCUUUGGGGAGCUGUACGUAAGCGUUGAUCCAGAGAUUUCCGAAUGGGGGAACCCACUAUCUUUAGUCGGAUAGUAUCCUUACGUGAAUACAUAGCGUGAGGAAGGCAGACCCAGGGAACUGAAACAUCUAAGUACCUGGAGGAAGAGAAAGAAAAAUCGAUUUCCUGAGUAGCGGCGAGCGAAACGGAAAGAGCCCAAACCAAGAAGCUUGCUUCUUGGGGGUGUAGGACACUCUAUACGGAGUUACAAAAGAAAGUUAUAAAUGAAGCGGUCUGGAAAGGCCCGCCAAAGACGGUAACAGCCCGGUAGUUGAAAUGGCUUUCCCUCCAGAGUGGAUCCUGAGUACGGCGGAACACGUGAAAUUCCGUCGGAAUCCGGGAGGACCAUCUCCCAAGGCUAAAUACUCCCUAGUGACCGAUAGUGAACCAGUACCGUGAGGGAAAGGUGAAAAGCACCCCGGAAGGGGAGUGAAACAGUUCCUGAAACCGUGUGCCUACAAGUAGUUAGAGCCCAUUAAUGGGUGAUAGCGUGCCUUUUGUAGAAUGAACCGGCGAGUUACGAUUUGUUGCAAGGUUAAGCGGAAAAAGCGGAGCCGUAGCGAAAGCGAGUCUGAAUAGGGCGCAUAAGUAACAGGUCGUAGACCCGAAACCAGGUGAUCUACCCAUGUCCAGGAUGAAGGUAAGGUAAUACUUACUGGAGGUCCGAACCCACGCACGUUGAAAAGUGCGGGGAUGAGGUGUGGGUAGCGGAGAAAUUCCAAUCGAACUUGGAGAUAGCUGGUUCUCUCCGAAAUAGCUUUAGGGCUAGCCUCGAGGUAAAGAGUCAUGGAGGUAGAGCACUGUUUGGACUAGGGGCCCUUCUCGGGUUACCGAAUUCAGAUAAACUCCGAAUGCCAUGUACUUAUACUCGGGAGUCAGACUGCGAGUGAUAAGAUCCGUAGUCGAAAGGGAAACAGCCCAGACCACCAGUUAAGGUCCCCAAAUAUAUGUUAAGUGGAAAAGGAUGUGGGGUUGCUUAGACAACCAGGAUGUUGGCUUAGAAGCAGCCACCAUUGAAAGAGUGCGUAAUAGCUCACUGGUCGAGUGACCCCGCGCCGAAAAUGUACCGGGGCUAAACAUAUUACCGAAACUGUGGAUGAACCUCUUUAGAGGUUCGUGGUAGGAGAGCGUUCUAAGGGCGGUGAAGUCAGACCGGAAGGACUGGUGGAGCGCUUAGAAGUGAGAAUGCCGGUAUGAGUAGCGAAAGAAGGGUGAGAAUCCCUUCCACCGAAUAUCUAAGGUUUCCUGAGGAAGGCUCGUCCGCUCAGGGNGUGACACAGAAGGAUAGGGAAUCGCACGAAUGGAAAUGUGCGUCCAAGCAGUGAGUGUGAGAAGUAGGCAAAUCCGCUUCUCACGAAGCAUGAGCUGUGAUGGGGAAGGAAAUUAAGUACGGAAGUUCCUGAUUUCACGCUGUCAAGAAAAGCCUCUAGGAAGAGUAGUACUGCCCGUACCGCAAACCGACACAGGUAGAUGAGGAGAGAAUCCUAAGGUGAGCGAGAGAACUCUCGUUAAGGAACUCGGCAAAAUGACCCCGUAACUUCGGGAGAAGGGGUGCUCUAUUAGGGUGCAAGCCCGAGAGAGCCGCAGUGAAUAGGCCCAGGCGACUGUUUAGCAAAAACACAGGUCUCUGCAAAACCGUAAGGUGACGUAUAGGGGCUGACGCCUGCCCGGUGCUGGAAGGUUAAGAGGAGUGCUUAGCUUCGGCGAAGGUACGAAUUGAAGCCCCAGUAAACGGCGGCCGUAACUAUAACGGUCCUAAGGUAGCGAAAUUCCUUGUCGGGUAAGUUCCGACCCGCACGAAAGGCGCAACGAUCUGGGCACUGUCUCAACGAGAGACUCGGUGAAAUUAUAGUACCUGUGAAGAUGCAGGUUACCCGCGACAGGACGGAAAGACCCCGUGGAGCUUUACUGCAACCUGAUAUGGAAUGUUUGUACCGCUUGUACAGGAUAGGUAGGAGCCGAAGAGACGUGUGCGCUAGCAUACGAGGAGGCAAUGGUGGGAUACUCCCCUGGCUGUAUGACCAUUCUAACCCGCCACGCUUAGCGCGUGGGGAGACAGUGUCAGGUGGGCAGUUUGACUGGGGCGGUCGCCUCCUAAAGAGNUCCCUCAGAAUGGAUGGAAAUCAUUCGCAGAGUGUAAAGGCACAAGGGAGCUUGACUGCGAGACUGACAAGUCGAGCAGGGACGAAAGUCGGGCUUAGUGAUCCGGUGGUUCCGCAUGGAAGGGCCAUCGCUCAACGGAUAAAAGCUACCCCGGGGAUAACAGGCUUAUCUCCCCCAAGAGUCCACAUCGACGGGGAGGUUUGGCACCUCGAUGUCGGCUCGUCGCAUCCUGGGGCUGUAGUCGGUCCCAAGGGUUGGGCUGUUCGCCCAUUAAAGCGGCACGCGAGCUGGGUUCAGAACGUCGUGAGACAGUUCGGUCCCUAUCCGUCGCGGGCGCAGGAAAUUUGAGAGGAGCUGUCCUUAGUACGAGAGGACCGGGAUGGACACACCGCUGGUGUACCAGUUGUUCCGCCAGGAGCAUCGCUGGGUAGCUAUGUGUGGCAGGGAUAAACGCUGAAAGCAUCUAAGCGUGAAGCCCCCCUCAAGAUGAGAUUUCCCAUUUCUUCGGAAAGUAAGAUCCCUGAAAGAUGAUCAGGUAGAUAGGUUUGGAGUGGAAGUGUAGCGAUACAUGGAGCGGACAAAUACUAAUCGAUCGAGGACUUAACCAAAA
Molecule: ribosomal RNA, 2834 nt
Filed under: Listeria monocytogenes
Lineage: Bacteria; Bacillati; Bacillota; Bacilli; Caryophanales; Listeriaceae
Description: bacterial LSU rRNA
Rfam family: Bacterial large subunit ribosomal RNA
Source: RNAcentral